CCGAAAAGGCGACCGACCUUCGGGAGCUUGCACAGGUGCUGCAUGGCUGUCGUCAGCUCGUGUCGUGAGAUGUUCGGUUAAGUCCGCUAACGAGCGCAACCCUCGCUGUGUGUUACAAGUGUCACACGGUACUGCCGGUCUUAAGCCGGAGGAAGGUGGGGAUGACGUCAAGUCAGCAUGGCCUUUAUGUCCUGGGCUACACACACGCUACAAUGGCCAACACAAUAGGUUGCUAAGCCGCGAGGUGGAGCCAAUCCUCAAAGUUGGUCUCAGUUCAGAUUGCAGGCUGCAACCCGCCUGCAUGAAGAUGGAAUUGCUAGUAACCGCAGGUCAGCUAUACUGCGGUGAAUACGUUCCGGGCUU
Molecule: ribosomal RNA, 363 nt
Filed under: uncultured Leptolinea sp.
Lineage: Bacteria; Bacillati; Chloroflexota; Anaerolineae; Anaerolineales; Anaerolineaceae
Description: bacterial SSU rRNA
Rfam family: Bacterial small subunit ribosomal RNA
Source: RNAcentral